RNAcentral lists this ribosomal RNA (409 nucleotides) under bacterium. Its description in RNAcentral is "partial 16S ribosomal RNA". It matches the Rfam family "Bacterial small subunit ribosomal RNA", at positions 355 to 776 of the family's 1533-position model. The record is from RNAcentral.
UGGGGAAUAUUGCACAAUGGGCGAAAGCCUGAUGCAGCGACGCCGCGUGAGUGAUGACGGCCUUCGGGUUGUAAACCUCUUUCAGCAGGGACGAAGCGCAAGUGACGGUACCUGCAGAAGAAGCACCGGCUAACUACGUGCCAGCAGCCGCGGUAAUACGUAGGGUGCAAGCGUUGUCCGGAAUUACUGGGCGUAAAGAGUUCGUAGGCGGUUUGUCGCGUCGUUUGUGAAAACCAGCAGCUCAACUGCUGGCUUGCAGGCGAUACGGGCAGACUUGAGUACUGCAGGGGAGACUGGAAUUCCUGGUGUAGCGGUGAAAUGCGCAGAUAUCAGGAGGAACACCGGUGGCGAAGGCGGGUCUCUGGGCAGUAACUGACGCUGAGGAACGAAAGCGUGGGUAGCGAACAGG